Molecule: ribosomal RNA, 253 nt
Filed under: uncultured bacterium
Lineage: Bacteria
Description: partial 16S ribosomal RNA
Rfam family: Bacterial small subunit ribosomal RNA
Source: RNAcentral
UACGUAGGGGGCAAGCGUUGUCCGGAAUUAUUGGGCGUAAAGGGCGCGUAGGCGGUCGGAUAAGUCUUGUGUGAAAUCUUCGGGCUCAACUCGAAGUCUGCACAGGAAACUAUCUGGCUUGAGUGUGGGAGAGGUGAGUGGAAUUCCUGGUGUAGCGGUGAAAUGCGUAGAUAUCAGGAGGAACACCUGUGGCGAAAGCGGCUCACUGGACCACAACUGACGCUGAGGCGCGAAAGCUAGGGGAGCAAACAGG